RNAcentral lists this ribosomal RNA (1346 nucleotides) under uncultured bacterium. RNAcentral describes it as "partial 16S ribosomal RNA". It matches the Rfam family "Bacterial small subunit ribosomal RNA", at positions 28 to 1381 of the family's 1533-position model. The record is from RNAcentral.
GACGAACGCUGGCGGCGUGCUUAACACAUGCAAGUCGAACGGAAAGGCCCUGCUUUUGUGGGGUGCUCGAGUGGCGAACGGGUGAGUAACACGUGAGUAACCUGCCCUUGACUUUGGGAUAACUUCAGGAAACUGGGGCUAAUACCGGAUAGGAGCUCCUGCUGCAUGGUGGGGGUUGGAAAGUUUCGGCGGUUGGGGAUGGACUCGCGGCUUAUCAGCUUGUUGGUGGGGUAGUGGCUUACCAAGGCUUUGACGGGUAGCCGGCCUGAGAGGGUGACCGGCCACAUUGGGACUGAGAUACGGCCCAGACUCCUACGGGAGGCAGCAGUGGGGAAUAUUGCACAAUGGGCGGAAGCCUGAUGCAGCAACGCCGCGUGCGGGAUGACGGCCUUCGGGUUGUAAACCGCUUUCGCCUGUGACGAAGCGUGAGUGACGGUAAUGGGUAAAGAAGCACCGGCUAACUACGUGCCAGCAGCCGCGGUGAUACGUAGGGUGCGAGCGUUGUCCGGAUUUAUUGGGCGUAAAGGGCUCGUAGGUGGUUGAUCGCGUCGGAAGUGUAAUCUUGGGGCUUAACCCUGAGCGUGCUUUCGAUACGGGUUGACUUGAGGAAGGUAGGGGAGAAUGGAAUCCCUGGUGGAGCGGUGGAAUGCGCAGAUAUCAGGAGGAACACCAGUGGCGAAGGCGGUUCUCUGGGCCUUUCCUGACGCUGAGGAGCGAAAGCGUGGGGAGCGAACAGGCUUAGAUACCCUGGUAGUCCACGCUGUAAACGGUGGGUACUAGGUGUGGGGUCCAUUCCACGGGUUCCGUGCCGUAGCUAACGCUUUAAGUACCCCGCCUGGGGAGUACGGCCGCAAGGCUAAAACUCAAAGGAAUUGACGGGGCCCCGCACAAGCGGCGGAGCAUGCGGAUUAAUUCGAUGCAACGCGUAGAACCUUACCUGGGUUUGACAUGGAUCGGGAGUGCUCAGAGAUGGGUGUGCCUCUUUUGGGGUCGGUUCACAGGUGGUGCAUGGCUGUCGUCAGCUCGUGUCGUGAGAUGUUGGGUUAAGUCCCGCAACGAGCGCAACCCUUGUUCACUGUUGCCAGCACGUUAUGGUGGGGACUCAGUGGAGACCGCCGGGGUCAACUCGGAGGAAGGUGGGGAUGACGUCAAGUCAUCAUGCCCCUUAUGUCCAGGGCUUCACGCAUGCUACAAUGGCUGGUACAGAGAGUGGCGAGCCUGUGAGGGUGAGCGAAUCUCGGAAAGCCGGUCUCAGUUCGGAUUGGGGUCUGCAACUCGACCUCAUGAAGUCGGAGUCGUUAGUAAUCGCAGAUCAGCAACGCUGCGGUGAAUACGUUCCCGGGGCU